AGUCCUGGCCGUAAACGAUGCCGACUAGGUGUUGCAGCGGCCAAGAGCCACUGCAGUGCCACAGUGAAGACGUUAAGUCGGCCACCUGGGGAGUACGAUCGCAAGAUUGAAACUUAAAGGAAUUGACGGGGGCGCACCACCAGGAGUGAAGCCUGCGGUUUAAUUGGAUUCAACGCCGAAAAACUCACCUAAACAGACGGCAGAAUGAAGCUCAAGUUAAUGACUUUAGCUAACUCGCCGAGAGGAAGUGCAUGGCCGUCGACAGUUCGUGCUGUGAAGUGUCUUGUUAAGUCAAGCAACGAACGAGAUCCACGUCCGCAAUUGCCAGCGGGUCCCUUUGGGAUGCCGGGAACCUUGCGGAGACUGCUUGGUGCUAAACCAGAGGAAGGAGUGGGCAACGGCAGGUCAGUAUGCUCCGAUAGUUUAGGGCUACACGCGGGCUGCAAUGGUCGGUACAAUGGGCCGCGACCCCGAAAGGGGGAGCCAAUCCCGAAAGCCGGUCUCAGUCAGGAUUGGGGUUUGUAACUCAGCCCCAUGAAUAUGGAAUUCCUAGUAAACGUGUUUCAUUAAGACACGUUGAAUACGUCCCCGCGCCUUGUACACACCGCCCGUCGUUGCAACCAACUGCAUGGUGGUUGAGGCGCUUGAUUUAAUGCGAGUGUCAAUACUGCUGUGUGCUAGGAGGCAAAAGUCGUAACAAGGUAGCCGUAGGGGAACCUGCGGCUG
RNAcentral lists this ribosomal RNA (726 nucleotides) under marine sediment metagenome. RNAcentral's name for it is "bacterial SSU rRNA". It matches the Rfam family "Archaeal small subunit ribosomal RNA", at positions 743 to 1467 of the family's 1478-position model. The record is from RNAcentral.